GAGGGUAUAGCUCAGAGGUAGAGCACUGGACUGCAGAUCAAGAAUAUCAGCUUCAGUUCAGCUGCCUUCA
Pan troglodytes (chimpanzee) is the source of this 70-nucleotide transfer RNA. It matches the Rfam family "tRNA". Rfam says of the family: Transfer RNA (tRNA) molecules are approximately 80 nucleotides in length. Their secondary structure includes four short double-helical elements and three loops (D, anti-codon, and T loops). Further hydrogen bonds mediate the characteristic L-shaped molecular structure. tRNAs have two regions of fundamental functional importance: the anti-codon, which is responsible for specific mRNA codon recognition, and the 3' end, to which the tRNAs corresponding amino acid is attached (by aminoacyl-tRNA synthetases). tRNAs cope with the degeneracy of the genetic code in two manners: having more than one tRNA (with a specific anti-codon) for a particular amino acid; and 'wobble' base-pairing, i.e. permitting non-standard base-pairing at the 3rd anti-codon position. Lineage: Eukaryota; Metazoa; Chordata; Mammalia; Primates; Hominidae. The record is from Rfam.